This is an RNA transcript of Dioscorea cayenensis subsp. rotundata (Guinea yam), 3833 nucleotides long. RefSeq lists it as uncharacterized. The record is from RefSeq and is a predicted model, not a curated record. The transcript has 7 exons. NCBI's taxonomy places the organism in Eukaryota, Viridiplantae, Streptophyta, Magnoliopsida, Dioscoreales, Dioscoreaceae.
CUUUCAAAAUACCCCCACUUCCUCAUUCUGACUUUCGGGAAAAAAGGGCUGAAGUGGGACUUCGGCAAAAUUCCCUGACGUGGCCAAAGUCCACUUCUGCCAAAUGAAUCACGUGGGGGUGUUAUGAGCACCCCCACUUCCGUGAUUUGGAAAACCCGUGACCCCUCUCCAUCUUCUUCCCAAAACACUAGGGUUUGCACCCAUCUCCUUGUUCUCCAUCCUUCAGAUCAUCUCCAUCUACUGGCUUCAUCUUCACUAGCAAGGGUUUAAACUCAUCUCCUUGUGCGACAUCCGAUCAUCUCCAUCUACCGGUGCUUUAUCCUUCCGAUCAUAUUCAUCUCCACUGAUGGAUAGUUGGGCAUUAGGUGAGCGUGCUAGACCACUUGCCGCGGCAUUCACCACAAUUGUCGUCAUUAUUGCAUAUAUAAUUGAAGAAAUGCAUACAAGUAGGAGUCCUAGAUGUGUUGAGCCUUCAAUAUUCCGGGACCUAACUAGAAAAAAACACAUGAAUCGUAUUUUAAGAAGUGGUCGAGACUAUUGUGUAAGCUACCUAAGAAUGGAUGUAGGACCUUUCAUGCAUUUAUCCCAAAUAAUGCGUGACAGAUGUCUACUUGUUGAUACUCGCCAUGUGUCCAUUGAGGAGCAACUUGUAAUAUUCCUACACAUAGUUGGGCAUAACACGAAGAACAGAACAGCGAGGUUAGAAUUUCUUCGAUCAGGAGAAACUAUCAGCAGAUAUUUUAACAAUGUCAUUCGUGCUAUUUGCGCUAUACAUGAUGACUUUGUCCUACCUCCCAAUAGCAAUUGUCACUCGGACAUAGAGAAUAAUCCUAAUUGGUACCUGUUUUUUAAAGAUUGCAUUGGGUUGUUGAAUGGCACGCAUAUUGAAGCAUCCGUCCCUCCCCAUGAAAUACCCCAGUUUCGUGGUCGAAAGGGAAUUACUCAAAAUGUGUUGGCUGUGGUGAAUGCGGAUUUAAAGUUUACAUAUGUCCUAGCUGGAUGGAAGGGAUCUGCAAAUGAUUUCGCUGUCUUAAGGGAUGCAAUAUCUCGCCCUCAACCACAGGGGCUAAAGAUUAUAGAAGGAAAAUAUUAUCUCGUUGAUGCUGGAUACACCACUAUGAAUGGUUUCAUAGCUCCGUAUCGCGGAGUAAGAUACCAUCUUAAGGAACAUAAUGGAAGGCCACCAACAAACCCUAAAGAAUUGUUCAAUCUUAGGCAUUCAAUGCUACGAUCAUGGGUUGAACGAGCAUUUGGUAUCUUAAAGAAUCGUUUCAAGAUUCUUACCUAGCGGCCAUUUUUUCCAUUCAAAACACAAGUAAGGUUAGUCCUUGCAUGUUGUAUUAUUCAUAAUUAUAUAGCAGGUGUGGAUCUUCCUAUAUGCACGAGGGCAACACAUUAGAGGAAGAGCAACUUGUGCCCUCACAAAACAGGACCCAACGCGAACAAUGAGAAGAAAAUAGGCAAUGGGUGGAGUUAAGGGACAACAUAGCAAAUGAAAUGCGGAAUCACUAUACUGGCCGAUAAUUUAAUAUUUGAAGGAACAUGGAGGGCGGCACUUCGAAGGCUGCCACCAAACGUGGAACACCUAACAAGCAUUGGAAGCCUGAUUUUGAUAAUGUUUUAAUACCUGUUUUGGUAGAGCAAGUGAGACAGGGUCUUAAAUGUGACAAAUCAUUUAAGCGGGCUGCGUUCGGACAUGCUGCAAGUGCCGUGAAUGCAAGAUUUAACACUAAUUUCACCCCAGAGAAUGUGGAGAACCAUUAUCGGACGCUAAAAGUAAGGUACAUGGAAAUUAAGAAAGCGAGGGACUUGAGUGGGGCAGGUUGGGAUGACGAAAACAAGGUGAUCAUUCUCAACCCACUUGUGGCCUUCAAGUACACUGAGGCACACCCGGGUGCAAAACCAUUCAUCAACAAGCCCAUUGAGAACUAUGAAGGGCUUAGGAUAAUUUUUGGUGAAGAUAGUGCAACAGGUUCUUACGCUGCUUCUUUGUUUUCAGAUUUUGCAGACAAAUCUGAAAAUGAAGGAACCGACAAUGACAAUGGUGAACCAGACCCGAUUGAUAUUGCUAGUGAUGAGGAAGGUAAUAAUGGCAACUCUACACCCGUAGGUAGCAACCCUGCUCCAUCAUCAAGGGUUAGGUCCCAACGUAAUAGCAAGGGACCUAAAAGCCCUUCCAUGAUGGGCGAUGUACUUAAGGUUGUGGAUAAGAUGGCCAAUGCAAUUCAGAACCCAACCCAUUGGACUGAGAUUUUAUAUGAAAGAGUUAUGGGUGUUGAGGGUUCACCAAGCAUGAGCUUGUUGCGGUAUUUGAUUAUCUUCAGUCUAGGGAAACUGAAUCUAAGGGCUUCAUGGUGAGAGAUAUGGAACUGCGUCAAGAUUGGAUUAGGAGCUUUAUUUCCCGGAUGAUGUGAACCACGACAUGAAUGGUUUAGUGUUGCGGAGUUGUUCAGCUCCCAUGGGGAUUGUUUGAACUAUUGCUUGCAUUAUCUGCAUUUCAUGCAUUAUUUCAUGUUUUUUUUUUGUGCAUCCACGAACAUUAUGUGGGUUGUUUCCAUGUUUCAGGUUUGCCUAUGUUAUUUGUGUCAAUAGCAUGCAUGUUGCAUCUAAAAACUUUCAUCUUGUUUGCUUGUAUUUUGAACUAUCUGCACUUAUAUGAACUUAUUAGUGGUUGUUAUAUAUUAAUGGUUUCUCUAACCUACAUUUUUUUUUGUUGGCAUUGCAGGUGUAUUUUACAUGGCAAUGAUGACUACAUAAGAGUAAAGCAAUACACUUAGGCCAGGUUCCCUUUUUGCCUCUACAAAUAAACAGGUGUAGUGGCGGGGCAAUUGAGGGGUGAAGACCCUUCUCUUGCAGCCACAUGCCUUUGAAUUUCAUAGUGGUUUGAGUUUUGGUUUUAUCAGAUAGAUUCCAUCAUGAGAAAGGGUCUCUAUGACUUUUUUCUCUUAAAUUUUAUUUUGUCGUGGUCAUUUUGCUGAAACUAUUUUGCAUUUGUUUUUUGGUGAAAAAAUUUAGAUUUUUAAUUGUGGUUUAAAUGAAUUGGGAGUAGUUUUCAUUUGUGAUUUUAAUGUGGGAAAGGGGUUUUAGAUUUUUAGUUUUCUUGUUAUUCUUGUAAUUUGUUUGUAAGUUGCAUUGGAGAGCUGAAAUUUCAUUUCUUAAGCUAGAGAGCUUGGAUCUUUUCAGUGGUUUUACUAAAGUUUGGGAUAAUUGUAAAAGGUCUUUGAGUUUGGAUCUCAAGUUUGCAAAUGUUUUGUGUGUAUAUUUUAGAUUAAUUUUUAUCCAUUUGAAGAGUGUCUUAUUUUCAUUAUUAUUCAUACGUCAAUGUUUAUUUUCAAUGUUGUCUUCGAACUUUUGUUGUGUUACCUAUGUUUAUUGAGGUUUUGGUUUUUAACUGUAAGGGAUUACAGGCAUGAAAUGGUAUGUAUGGCAAGGCAACUUGGAGGCAUGCGUUGCCACAGUUGUAGCCUGCUUGAUCCAUUGUUUUUUUUUUCGUACAAUUAUUUUCAACUUUUCCCAUUGUGGGUUUAGUUUGCUACUCGUGUGUGUUGGUUUUGGAGGCAAAAAGGAUCUACCAAUGCCGAUGAAGUGAUGAUGUAUAUGUUUACUUUUUUAUGAGACCUGAGCCAUGACUGAAUAACAACUGGUGUUUGCUUGCGAGGUCGGACUACUCUGUGGAAGCAUGAAGUGCACAUGGAAUUCCUCUCCUUUGAUAAGAGUAUUGGUAGUUGUAUUUUAUUGUCCAAGUAAACAAUUUGUACUCUCUCAAACUUUGUUAAACAAUAUUACCAGUCAUGGUUCAGCGACUGUAGCAAAUAAAGCAUAUAUUUAUAUGA